This 453-nucleotide ribosomal RNA is filed under the name uncultured bacterium. RNAcentral's name for it is "bacterial SSU rRNA". It matches the Rfam family "Bacterial small subunit ribosomal RNA", at positions 355 to 824 of the family's 1533-position model. The record is from RNAcentral.
UAGGGAAUAUUGCGCAAUGGGCGAAAGCCUGAUGCAGCAACGCCGCGUGCGGGAAGACAGCCCUAGGGUUGUAAACCGCUUUCAGCAGGGAAGAAACUGACGGUACCUGCAGAAGAAGAUGCGGCCAACUACGUGCCAGCAGCCGCGGUGACACGUAGGCAUCAAGCGUUAUCCGGAUUUAUUGGGCGUAAAGAGCUCGUAGGCGGUUCGGUAAGUCGGGUGUGAAACUCUGGGCUCAACCCAGAGAGGCCACUCGAUACUGCUGUGACUAGAGUGCGGUAGGGGAGCGGGGAAUUCCUGGUGUAGCGGUGAAAGUGCGCAGAUAUCAGGAGGAACACCGGUGGCGAAGGCGGUCACCUGGGCCAGUACUGACGCUGAGGCGCGAAAGCGUGGGGAGCAAACAGGAUUAGAUACCCUGGUAGUCCACGCCGUAAACGAUGAGCACUCGGUGCC